Molecule: ribosomal RNA, 483 nt
Filed under: uncultured bacterium
Lineage: Bacteria
Description: partial 16S ribosomal RNA
Rfam family: Bacterial small subunit ribosomal RNA
Source: RNAcentral
GACGAACGCUGGCGGCGUGCUUAACACAUGCAAGUCGAACGAUGAAGCGGGUGCUUGCACUCGUGGAUUAGUGGCGAGCGGGCGAGUAACACGUGAGUAACCUGUCCUUUUCUUUGGGAUAACGGCUGGAAACGGCUGCUAAUACUGGAUAUUCAGGCUGCAUCGCAUGGUGUGGUUUGGAAAGGUUUUUUCUGGGAUUGGGUGGGCUCGCGGCCUAUCAGCUUGUUGGUGGGGUGAUGGCUUACCAAGGCUUUGACGGGUAGCCGGCCUGAGAGGGUGGUCGGUCGCACUGGGACUGAGAUGCGGCCCAGACUCCUCCGGGGGGCAGCAGUGGGGAAUAUUGCACAAUGGACGAAAGUUUGAUGCAGCGACGCCGCGUGGAGGGUGUAGGCCUUCGGGUUGUGAACUCCUUUUUCUCGCGAAAAAGGCACAGUUUUGGCUGUGUUGAUGGUAGUGGGGGAAGAAGCGCCGGCUAACUACGUG